AAACCAUGAUGAGGACACUAUCUUAAUAAAUCUUUGAAUCUGUUUCAUACUUCAAAUAGUGAUUCUCCAUCUGUCUGAGAAAAAUUUGUGAUGCAAUUUCCCAUGUAC
Small nucleolar RNA from Zingiber officinale, 108 nucleotides. The record is from RefSeq and is a predicted model, not a curated record. NCBI's taxonomy places the organism in Eukaryota, Viridiplantae, Streptophyta, Magnoliopsida, Zingiberales, Zingiberaceae.